UGAAGUAAGUAAGGGCGUACGGUGAAUGCCUUGGUGCCAACAGGCGAAGAAGGACGCGGCAAGCUGCGAAAAACCUCGGGAAGCUGCAAGCAAGCGAUGAUCCGGGGGUGUCCGAAUGGGGUAACCUGACUGGGGUAAUACCUAGUCGUUCAUACCUGAAUACAUAGGGUAUGAAACGCAAUACCCGCUGAAGUGAAACAUCUCAGUAAGCGGAGGAAAAGAAAGAGAAAUCGAUUCCGUAAGUAGUGGCGAGCGAAAGCGGAUGGAGCCCAAACCGAAGGUACUCCUUCGGGGUUGUAGGACCACGACAUAUUCGACCAUAGUGGAUAGUAGAACAGUCUGGAAAGGCUGGCCAUAGAAGGUGAAAGCCCUGUAGACGAAAUCCAGAGUGGGAAUUAGUGGUAUCCUGAGUAAUACAUCACACGUGGAACGAUGUAUGAAUCAGCGCGGACCACCGCGCAAGGCUAAAUACUAGUUGGCGACCGAUAGUGAACAAGUACCGUGAGGGAAAGGUGAAAAGAACCGCUGUGAGCGGAGUGAAAUAGAACCUGAAACCGUAUGUCUACAAAGUGUCAGAGCAGAGCGAUCUGCGAUGGCGUGCCUUUUGUUUAAUGAGUCUGCGAGUCAGUGUUUGUGGCAAGACUAAGGGCUUCCGGCCCGGAGUCGCAGCGAAAGCAAGUCCGAAUAGGGCGAAUUAAGUCGCAGGUACUGGACCCGAAGCGGAGGUGACCUACCCUUGGCCAGGUUGAAGCAUGGGUAAAACCAUGUGGAGGACCGAACAGGUGAACGUUGAAAAGUUCUCUGAUGAGCUGAGGGUAGGAGUGAAAGGCUAAUCAAACCCCGUGAUAGCUGGUUCUCUUCGAAAUGCAUUUAGGUGCAGCGUCACGUGCUGAUGCGCGGGGGUAGAGCACUGACAAGGCUAGGGGGCACACCCGCUUACCAAACCUUAUCAAACUCCGAAUACCGUGCAAUGGAACGUGGCAGUGAGACAGUGGGGGAUAAGCUUCAUUGUCGAGAGGGAAACAACCCAGACCAGCAGCUAAGGUGCCUAAAUAACGCUGAGUGGAAAGGAUGUGGGAUUACACAGACAGUGAGGAUGUUGGCUUAGAAGCAGCCACCAUUUAAAAAAUGCGUAAUAGCUUACUCAUCGAGUGAUCCUGCGCCGAAAAUGAUUGGCGAUCAAGCGUUAUACCGAAGCUCUGGACUUUGCCGCAAGGCAGAGUGGUAGAAGAGCGUUGCAUGCGCAUUGAAGGGUGAUGGCGACUGACCCUGGAGCGCAUGCAAGUGAGUAUGCAGACAUGAGUAACGUAAAGCCGGGUGAAAUCCCCGGCCGCCGUAAACCCGAGGUUUCCAGGGCAACGUGUUUCGUCCCUGGGUUAGCCGGGACCUAAGCCGAGGCCGAGAGGCGUAGGCGAUGGAUAUCAGGUUAAUAAUCCUGAGCUCGCGACCCUUAAACUGGGGGGACGCAUGAGAAGAGAUGACCAGGUUAUUGAAUUCCGAGCUGGGUCCACGGAUCCAGCGCAUCAUCAAAUCGAGUGCCAAGAAAAGCCCCAGCGUAUGCUAAGCGACCCGUACCGCAAACCGACACAGGUGGGUGGGUAGAAUAUACCAAGGCGUAAGAGUGAAACCUGGUUAAGGAACUCGGCAAAUUAGCCCCGUAACUUCGGAAGAAGGGGUGCCUGCAGCGAUGCAGGCCGCAGAGAAAUGGCCCAACCGACUGUUUAUCAAAAACACAGCACUCUGCAAAGACGCAAGUCGAAGUAUAGGGUGUGACACGUGACCAAUGCCGAAAGAUUAAGGCAAGGGGUUAGCCGCAAGGCGAAGCUCUGAACCCAAGUCCCGGUGAAUGUCGGCCGUAACUAUAACGGUCCUAAGGUAGCGAAAUUCCUUGUCGGGUAAGUUCCGACCUGCACGAAUCGUGAAACGAGUUGGGCACUGUCUCAACCAGGCGCUCAGUGAAAUUGUAGUGGCGGUGAAGAUGCCGCCUACCCGCAGAAGGACGGAAAGACCCUAUAGACCUUAACUGUAAGCUGUCAUUGUUUCUUCGGUUUUAAUGCUCAGAGUAAGUGGGAGACGCUGAAGAUGCCCUUUAGGGGGCAUCCGAGUCAUCAAUGAGACACCACCCUUUGAAACUGGAGGAUCUAACCCUGAGCCGUGAAUCCGGCCAGAGGACCGUGUCAGCCGGUCAGUUUUACUGGGGCGGUAUCCUCCCAAAGAGUAACGGAGGAGCGCGAAGGUGGGCUCAGCCCGGUUGGCAACCGGGUGUCGAGUGCAUGGGCAUAAGCCCGCCUAACUGUGAGACCAACAAGUCGAGCAGAUGCGAAAGCAGGCCCAAGUGAUCCGGCGGUAGAAAGUGGAAUUGCCGUCGCUCAACGGAUAAAAGGUACCUUAGGGAUAACAGGCUGAUCACGCCCAAGAGUUCAUAUCGACGGCGUGGUUUGGCACCUCGAUGUCGGCUCGUCGCAUCCUGGGGCUGGAGAAGGUCCCAAGGGUCCGGCUGUUCGCCGGUUAAAGCGGCACGCGAGCUGGGUUCAGAACGUCGCGAGACAGUUCGGUCCUCUAUCCUCUGUGGGCGUUGGAAAAUUGAGGGGUUCAGACCUUAGUACGAGAGGACCGGGUCUGACGCACCACUGGUGCAUCGGUUGUACUGUCAAGUGCAUGGCCGAGUAGCUAAGUGCGGAAGGGAUAAGCGCUGAAAGCAUCUAAGCGCCAAGCCCAUCCCAAGAUGAGUUUUCCCUAUAGGUUCGUGGAAGACCACCACGUCGAUAGGUCGCAGGUGUAAGUGCAGCAAUGUAUUGAGCCAAGCGAUACUAAUCACCGAUAGACUUCAUCAU
This 2834-nucleotide ribosomal RNA is filed under the name human gut metagenome. Its description in RNAcentral is "bacterial LSU rRNA". It matches the Rfam family "Bacterial large subunit ribosomal RNA". The record is from RNAcentral.